AGAGCGAAUGAUGGGACAGGCUGAAUUCGCCAUUGAAGCGAAUGAAAGGAAAUUUAUAAGCGAAUGACUGGAACGAAAGAAGGUAAAAUAUGAGCGAAAGAAUGGAUAAUAUGAGCGAACAAUGUACAAAUGCGAAUGGUGGGACAGGAUUUUCCCUUGUUGUUUUCCCCUCCAUCUUGAUUCGAGAAA
Molecule: long non-coding RNA, 189 nt
Organism: Bradysia coprophila
Lineage: Eukaryota; Metazoa; Arthropoda; Insecta; Diptera; Sciaridae
Source: RefSeq, a predicted model, not a curated record